RNAcentral lists this transfer RNA (30 nucleotides) under Thamnochortus cinereus. Its description in RNAcentral is "partial tRNA-Phe". Lineage: Eukaryota; Viridiplantae; Streptophyta; Magnoliopsida; Poales; Restionaceae. The record is from RNAcentral.
GGUCAGGAUAGCUCAGUUGGUGAGCAGAGG